UGGGGAAUUUUGGACAAUGGGCGAAAGCCUGAUCCAGCAAUGCCGCGUGUGUGAAGAAGGCCUUCGGGUUGUAAAGCACUUUUGUCCGGAAAGAAAUCCUUGGCUCUAAUACAGUCGGGGGAUGACGGUACCGGAAGAAUAAGCACCGGCUAACUACGUGCCAGCAGCCGCGGUAAUACGUAGGGUGCAAGCGUUAAUCGGAAUUACUGGGCGUAAAGCGUGCGCAGGCGGUUUGCUAAGACCGAUGUGAAAUCCCCGGGCUCAACCUGGGAACUGCAUUGGUGACUGGCAGGCUAGAGUAUGGCAGAGGGGGGUAGAAUUCCACGUGUAGCAGUGAAAUGCGUAGAGAUGUGGAGGAAUACCGAUGGCGAAGGCAGCCCCCUGGGCCAAUACUGACGCUCAUGCACGAAAGCGUGGGGAGCAAACAGGAUUAGAUACCCUGGUAGUCCACGCCCUAAACGAUGUCAACUAGUUGUUGGGGAUUCAUUUCUUAGUAACGUGCUAACGCGUGAAGUUGACCGCCUGGGGAGUACGGUCGCAAGAUUAAAACUCAAAUGAAUUGACGGGGUCAUAGCUGUUUCCU
This 583-nucleotide ribosomal RNA is filed under the name uncultured bacterium. RNAcentral describes it as "partial 16S ribosomal RNA". It matches the Rfam family "Bacterial small subunit ribosomal RNA", at positions 355 to 1375 of the family's 1533-position model. The record is from RNAcentral.